Molecule: ribosomal RNA, 173 nt
Filed under: uncultured Pseudomonas sp.
Lineage: Bacteria; Pseudomonadati; Pseudomonadota; Gammaproteobacteria; Pseudomonadales; Pseudomonadaceae
Description: partial 16S ribosomal RNA
Rfam family: Bacterial small subunit ribosomal RNA
Source: RNAcentral
GGCAAGGGCGAAGCCUGGAUCCAGCCAUGCCGCGGUGGUGUGAAGAAGGUCUUCGGAUUGUAAAGCACUUUAAGUUUGGGAGGAAGGGCAUUAACCUAAUACGUUAGUGUUUUGACGUUACCGACAGAAUAAGCACCGGCUAACUUCGUGCCAGCAGCCGCGGUAAUACGAAA